UUAUAAAGUAAGGCCAGCUAAGAGUUUUAUCCCAACAAAGGCCUGCUGGUAGAGCGUGCCUAUCGUAACGCUCAGUAAAACCGCAAUAGCGCUAGAGUACGGCUCGUCUACACAUCAACAGCAAGCCAGUGUUAUCAUUGUUUAUGCGCUCUAUUUAUCAAGCUUAACCCCAGAGCAAGCUAAAUCAACAACCCUUCGAUCCGGUAAAACACUAGCGUCAAGAUUCUUUGUCCCCGCCUCUCUCAGUCGCAGCACAGAGGUCAGCUACUGCACACUGCAUCGUCGAGCGUCAUCCAACGAUGGCAUUCACAUUUACCGACGCCGCCAAGAAUUCUUCCAAUCACAACAGCAUUCUGGUGCAGCUGACCGAUCUCACCGACUAUCCGCUGGAUGCCACGAAAAUCCCACCAGCUCCAAUGUUUGUGUCCGCCCGAUAUCGUGACUACGCGCAACAGGUGCGAGACUUUCCGGUGUACGAAGAUGACGUGUGGAUUGUAACCUUUCCCAAGAGUGGCACCACCUGGGCGGAGGAGAUGGUCUGGUUGCUCAAUCACGAGCUGGACUAUAAAACGGCGCGAGACACUAUACUAAACUGCAGAUCAUCUUUCCUGGAAUUUGGACCCAUAGCGUACACCUUCCAUAUCAAUACGAUCCUCUUAGCGGCCUGCAGUAAACGCCCGCGGCAGAUCAAAUCGCAUCUACCGCUUCCGCUACUACCACGGCAGCUGUGGACGGUGAAGCCACGCAUCAUCUACGUCGCACGCAACCCUAAGGAUGUGGCCGUCUCGUACUUCCAUCACAGCCAGGUUUUCGCUGGAUACCGUGCAGACCGAGGAGCGUUUUUUGACGAUUUACUUAACGAUCGUGUCGCGUUCUGUCCGAUGAUACAGCACGUGCUUCAGUUCUGGGCGCUAAGAAAUGAACCGAACGUACUGUUUCUAACGUACGAGAGCAUGAAACGGGAUCUCCGAGGACUUCUACCGAAGGUGUGCCAAUUUCUGAACAAAUCUUACACGGACACGCAACUGGAUGAGCUGGCGGUGCAUUUAUCGUUCAGUGCAAUGAAAAAAAAUCCCGCCACCAACAAACAUGGCUCGGUCCGUAACGCCCUGCUGUCACAAAAUCGUGAGGGGGAACACUUUGAAUUCAUGCGAAAAGGCAUCGUGGGUGAUUAUCGCAACGAGAUGCCGGAGGAGUACAUUAGACGGUUUGACCAAUUUGUGGCAGAACAGACGGCCGGAAGCGAUUUCAAGUUCGAGUACGAAUAGUUCGAGCAAGCGAUCGUAAGGUGGAUUUCCUGCUUUCCAGCAACAGAUGAACCAGUUUGCACUACUCUACUACUGCCGCUUCCGCAUCGCACAUACGGCUCCGCUUUCACUAUCUCCACUAGUCGACGGUCAUUAAACUUGUACCACAUAUCUCGCGGUCUUGUGCCCUGAGACGUACAUAAGGAAUAAAUUAUCUCCCUCAUUUCGCACUCAUGUGCAGCCUGCAGUCUUGUUGUCUUGUGGCGCAUGUGGAAAGCCUCGAGAACCCGUCCGCAAUUGCACGGCCUCUCUCAGUUGAAUGCAAUCGAACGUAUCCUAACUUCGAUUGGAAAGCGGCGAACCCUCGUUAGUUAGUGUGCAGCUACCCAACGAGCAACAUACUUGGCCCGGGGAACUCUCCAAGAUGAUACGCUACGACAAGCUUAACAACGCGUACACCGAUCGAAUCGAUUGCCCCGGAACGGAGAAGCAUUACCGACUGUCACGCUCCAUCCCGAACGGCGACGAGCAGUGGUGCAUUAUGAUAGAAAAGUUCUUGCCGCUGUUGAAACCGAUACAGCGAAUGCCGGUCUACGAGGAUGAUGUGUGGGUCAUAACGUUUCCCAAGUGUGGUACAACGUGGACGCAGGAGAUGGUUUGGUUGCUGAACAACAAUCUCGACUACGCGCGGGCGGCCAAACUAACGCUCGAAGAACGGUUCCCCUUUCUGGAGCUCUCAGGUGCGCUUUCCCUAAUGGAUGGAGACUCCGUCGGUAGGGUGCAGGAUCUGGCCCGACCACGCCACAUCAAGAGCCACCUGCCGGUGAUGCUGCUUCCGGACGCACUGCGAACCGUCCGGGCGAAAAUGAUUUACGUUUCACGCAACCCGAAGGAUGCGGCCACCUCCUUCUACCAUCACUAUCGCAACAUUGUUGGCUAUGACGGUCCGCGAGAGGACUUUUUCGACGCCUUCCUGAACGAUAGUCUCAUCUAUGCACCGUUUGGAGAGCAUGUGCGUGCGUACUGGGAGUGGAGCAACCGGCCGGAUGCGGGUAACUGUCUGUUUCUAACGUACGAACAAAUGAAACGUGAUUUGCGUGGCGUUAUUGGGCGCGUCAGUGCGUUCCUGGGGAAGCAGUACAGCUCCAGCGAGGUGGACGAACUGGAAAAGCACCUUUCGGUGGAGUCGAUGAGAACCAACAAAUCCUGCAACAUGGAUGAUUUGCUAGAAUGGGCAAGGAAUACAACGUACAGCGAAGAGCGUAAAAAGCUCUCCAAAAGUAACUUCAAGUUCAUUCGCAACGGAACGGUUGGAUCGUACCGGCAGGACAUGAGCGACGAAUACGUCCAGCGCUUUGAGGAGUAUGAGCAGGCCAUCACCGAAGGAAUUGAUUUUGAUUUUUUCUUCUAACAGUAAACCACAUACCCCUUUUUCUUGGCUAAUUGAAAGCUCACACACCACGCACGAGCGGCAAUAAAUUACCUUCAUGCAACCAAACAA
Molecule: RNA transcript, 2748 nt
Organism: Anopheles stephensi (Asian malaria mosquito)
Lineage: Eukaryota; Metazoa; Arthropoda; Insecta; Diptera; Culicidae
Gene name: luciferin sulfotransferase-like
Exons: 8
Source: RefSeq, a predicted model, not a curated record